AUCCAGCUGACUAGUCCUAAAUAGAAUGAAACGCACAUCCUGGAU
This is a non-coding RNA of Schistosoma mattheei, 45 nucleotides long. The record is from Rfam. Lineage: Eukaryota; Metazoa; Platyhelminthes; Trematoda; Strigeidida; Schistosomatidae.